This 1086-nucleotide small RNA is filed under the name Histoplasma ohiense. RNAcentral describes it as "hypothetical lncRNA". Lineage: Eukaryota; Fungi; Ascomycota; Eurotiomycetes; Onygenales; Ajellomycetaceae. The record is from RNAcentral.
CCUGCUCAUUAAUGUUUCCCCUCCCUCGCGGCAGCUAGUCGUUAGUGGCCAGAACCGACACUGCGCCAGUCCAUUGCUAUUGUUGUCUGAAACAACUUCCAUUCAGCGCUUCUGGAAGCCUGCAUGCUUCGGACUGCGUUUCAACCAAUGCGAUUGGAACUCUAGAAACUGGAUUCCGUGGCAUCGUCACCUAAAAUUAGACCGACACCCCACACUGCGCGAGCAGCCGCGGGUUUCCAAGAUUCCAGCAAACUUCCUGUCUUGAACUUACCAUCCUCAUCUCCGUACUGUUGUUCUGAACAUCAUGAGGUCCUCUUUGGAUAUAUUUGCCGCUGAGCUUGGGAACAUGAUUCAAUCGAGGAACACCCUGUGCUAAUAACACCCGUCGGAUUCCGGUGACCGUCUUGUAUGACAUCGUUCGAAUGGCAACUUGUGAGCUGACAAACCCGGAAAUUUUGCUUAGGUUUUAUUUCUUCUGUCCGAUGUUGGGAUACCUCUGCGAAACAAACGGCGCAGCCAGAUAAUAUUCUAGCCCUUACGGUAUAGAAAUGGCGAUAAUACGCUGAUACCAUUGAGAGUUUGGGAACUCGAAAAUAUGAAGAUCCUGCGAUGCCCUCCUGAUAUAACCAGUUUCUAUUCGCCCAGGUUGAUGUCGUUUAGCAGGAAAACCAUCGAUAUGGUGACAGGAGUCACAGGACCCUGAAAUGUGUUUCCUUUAGAAUCAAGUUACUCAACAUCAUCUUACGCUUUGAUAACUUACGGCGUAUGUUUACCCAGCAACUCACACUAACUAGGAUGUUAUGAAGGCUACAUUUAAAUUACAAACGUCUUUUCAACAAGUUGUUUUAAAAAGGGUUAACUCAGGUGCUCGGUUAAAUUGCAAUGUCUAUGCAUACACAGUACAUGGCAGGGAGAGCUGCUCUGUUUCUAUCUAGUGUUUGCAAGGACUUACAUAUUCCGCACCUCAGCACAUACAAUUAUUAAAUGAUGUUAAGAUCAAUAUCGACUGCUCUACUUUAGCUUCAGUGAUGUUGUAUGUAUGCCAGCCAUUGUUAUGGGGAUUGGGGAUUCGAUCAGGACCGUGAU